The sequence is a ribosomal RNA, 475 nucleotides long. It matches the Rfam family "Bacterial large subunit ribosomal RNA", at positions 1922 to 2600 of the family's 2925-position model.
AUUAAAUGGCCGCAGUAACCUGACUGUGCGAAGGUAGCAUAAUAAUUAGUCUUUUAAUUGAAGGCUUGAAUGAACGAUUGAAUGAAAAGUUCACUUUAUUAAUUCAAAUUUUAUAAUUUAAUUUUUAGGUUAAAAAGCCUAAAUAAUUAAGUUGGACGAGAAGACCCUAUAGAACUUUAAAGUAUCAAUAUUUAUUUAAAAUUAGGAUAUUCUAUAUUAAAUAAAUGUCUAUAUUUUUAUGUUGGGGUGACAUUAAAAAACAUAUAACUUUAAAUAUAUUUAACAUUAAUAUAUGUAUUAAAUGAUCCAAUUUUAAUAUUAUUGAUUAAAAGAAAAAGUUACCUUAGGGAUAACAGCGUUAUUAUUUUUUAGAGUUCAUAUCAAUAAAGUAGUUUGCGACCUCGAUGUUGGAUUAAGAAUAUAAUUUGGAGCAAAAUCUAAAUUUAUAAGUCUGUUCGACUUUUAAAUUCUUACA